Molecule: non-coding RNA, 108 nt
Filed under: bovine gut metagenome
Description: Ribosomal S15 leader
Rfam family: Ribosomal S15 leader
About the family: The E. coli Ribosomal S15 gene 5' UTR can form two alternative structures.
Source: RNAcentral
CGACCUAGUACUCAGUUCUAGCAAAUAAAAUAAAGAAAGGAAGUAAAAUAAAAUGGCAUUAACUAAAGAACAAAAAGCAAGUAUCGUUAAAGAAUUCGCUCGUGAUGC